Non-coding RNA from Arabidopsis thaliana (thale cress), 194 nucleotides. RefSeq annotates it as other RNA. The transcript has a single exon. NCBI's taxonomy places the organism in Eukaryota, Viridiplantae, Streptophyta, Magnoliopsida, Brassicales, Brassicaceae. The record is from RefSeq.
UAUUUCAAGAUCUACACGCAUCUAAAAGUAAAAACAAAAGAAACACAAUCAGCAAAAUCUUACAGUGUGAAAAAACAGAUAUUAGUAGCGUGUAUUGUUAACGAUUAAUGGAGUUGCAAAUGAACAAAACAGAAAUACUGAGUAAAUCAAGUAGGAUCUAAUCGUGUGGCCUGCACGGACCUCAUCAAGAACAG